Molecule: ribosomal RNA, 253 nt
Filed under: uncultured bacterium
Lineage: Bacteria
Description: partial 16S ribosomal RNA
Rfam family: Bacterial small subunit ribosomal RNA
Source: RNAcentral
UACGUAGGGGGCAAGCGUUGUCCGGAAUCAUUGGGCGUAAAGCGCGUGUAGGCGGCUCGGUAAGUCUGCUCUGAAAGCCCGGGGCUCAACCCUGGGAGGCGGGUGGAUACUGCUGAGCUCGAGUCCGGAAGAGGCGAGUGGAAUUCCUGGUGUAGCGGUGAAAUGCGCAGAUAUCGGGAGGAACACCAGUGGCGAAGGCGACUACCUGGCCUGUUCUUGACGCUGAGGCGCGAAAGCUAGGGGAGCAAACGGG